RNAcentral lists this transfer RNA (69 nucleotides) under Grandisonia alternans. Its description in RNAcentral is "tRNA-Val". It matches the Rfam family "tRNA". Rfam says of the family: Transfer RNA (tRNA) molecules are approximately 80 nucleotides in length. Their secondary structure includes four short double-helical elements and three loops (D, anti-codon, and T loops). The record is from RNAcentral. Lineage: Eukaryota; Metazoa; Chordata; Amphibia; Gymnophiona; Indotyphlidae.
CAAAAUGUAGUUUAGUAUCAAACAUUUCGCUUACACCGAAAAAACUUCUGUUAACCCAGACCAUUUUGA